This 253-nucleotide ribosomal RNA is filed under the name uncultured bacterium. RNAcentral's name for it is "partial 16S ribosomal RNA". It matches the Rfam family "Bacterial small subunit ribosomal RNA", at positions 524 to 776 of the family's 1533-position model. The record is from RNAcentral.
UACGAAGGGGGCUAGCGUUGUUCGGAUUUACUGGGCGUAAAGCGCACGUAGGCGGUUUGUUAAGUCAGGGGUGAAAUCCCGGAGCUCAACUCCGGAACUGCCUUUGAUACUGGCAAGCUAGAGUCCGGAAGAGGUAAGUGGAACUCCUAGUGUAGAGGUGGAAUUCGUAGAUAUUCGCAGGAACACCAGUGGCGAAGGCGGCUUACUGGUCCAUAACUGACGCUGAGGUGCGAAAGCGUGGGGAGCAAACAGG